GUGGGAGCGCGCCCCGCUCCUGAUCCGUUGUUGCGCCUCUUGCUCCGUGGCUAAGGCGCGGACGGACGCGGAGGCGAGUGCAGGAAGAGCCGCCAGCACCACAGCCGCCGUCAGGGUUUGAGGACGGCCGUGGGCUCCGUCAAGGUGCAGCCGCGGCGGCGGAGGGCUUCCUGCGCUGCAGCCCAAGCGCGCGUGAGCCGGGGUGCGAGCAGCUGCCGGUGCCUCCGCGGCUGCAGCUGUGGAACUUGCUGGCGCUGCUGCGGAGCGGUCUCACCCUGCGGAGCAACUGCAGCGCCACUAGGGCCAGGCGCCAGCUGCUUCCCACCCCACAAUGCAAGAGGCUGUUUGGAGCAGAGAGAUGUCCAAAACUAUUGUCCAGAUUUGGUGUCACCUAGGGUAAGUCACUCAAGCUUGUUUUGCAUUACAUUUGUCCUGUAUUUGAUAAUACCUGUCAGACAUGACUGAGCAACUUCACUUUUACUUUUCACUUUCAUGCAUUGGAUAAGGAAAUGACAACCCACUCCAGUGUUCUGGCCUGGAGAAUUCCAG
This 549-nucleotide long non-coding RNA is filed under the name Capra hircus (goat). RNAcentral's name for it is "lncRNA (ENSCHIG00000003863.1)". Lineage: Eukaryota; Metazoa; Chordata; Mammalia; Artiodactyla; Bovidae. The record is from RNAcentral.